CGGCGAAGGGAGAGUAACGCGUAGAUAUCUGCCUCGAGGCCCGGGAUAGCGGCGAGAAACUGCCGGUAAUACCGGAUAACAUCUCCGGAUCAAAGGUGUGAUUCCGCCUCGAGAUGAGUCUGCGUCCUAUUAAUGCUUGUUGGUGUGGUAACGGCGCACCAAGGCGAAGAUGGGUACCGGGUGUGAGAGCAUGGCCCGGCUCACUGGGACUGAGACACUGCCCAGACACCUACGGGUGGCUGCAGUCGAGAAUCUUCGGCAAUGGGCGAAAGCCUGACCGAGCGACGCCGCGUGCGGGAUGAAGGCCCUCGGGUUGUAAACCGCUGUCAGUAGGGAGCAAAUCUCUUGGGGUUAUCCCCUUGAGUUGAGCGAUCUUCAGAGGAAGUACGGGCUAAGUUCGUGCCAGCAGCCGCGGUAAGACGAACCGUACGAACGUUAUUGGGAAUCACUGGGCUUAAAGAGUCCGUAAGCGGCCGUGUAGGUGGGAUGUGAAAGCCCUCGUCUCAACCGAGGAAUUGCGUUCCAAACCACAUGGCUUGAGGAGGAUAGAGGUGAGCGGAACUGAUGGUGGAGCGGUGAAAUGCGUUGAUAUCAUCAGGAACACCAGAGGCGAAGGCGGCUCACUGGGUCCUUUCUGACGCUGAGGGACGAAAGCUAGGGGAGCAAACGGGAUUAGAUACCCCGGUAGUCCUGGCUGUAAACGAUGAGCACUAGAUCGAGGGGACUUCCACAUCUUCUCGGUCGUAGCGAAAGUGUUAGUGCUCCGCCUGGGGGAGUAUGGUCGCAAGGGCUGAAACCUCAAA
RNAcentral lists this ribosomal RNA (803 nucleotides) under uncultured bacterium. Its description in RNAcentral is "bacterial SSU rRNA". It matches the Rfam family "Bacterial small subunit ribosomal RNA", at positions 96 to 905 of the family's 1533-position model. The record is from RNAcentral.